This is a long non-coding RNA of Juglans microcarpa x Juglans regia, 193 nucleotides long. RefSeq lists it as uncharacterized. The record is from RefSeq and is a predicted model, not a curated record. The transcript is spliced from 3 exons. Lineage: Eukaryota; Viridiplantae; Streptophyta; Magnoliopsida; Fagales; Juglandaceae.
UUUCCCAAGAGAGGCAGUCUAUAUGUGAAGAAAGCAUAGAAUAAUGCCAACAAGCUUGGCAAAAUGCCAUAGAAAAACCAUCGAGACUAGGAGCUUUGUCUUUUGCCAUCCCACUAAUCACAUAAUGAAACUCAUCUUCAUUAAGGUCUCGUUUGUUUUCACAACACAUCUUAUCUCAUUUCAUCUCAUCUUA